Molecule: ribosomal RNA, 550 nt
Filed under: uncultured bacterium
Lineage: Bacteria
Description: bacterial SSU rRNA
Rfam family: Bacterial small subunit ribosomal RNA
Source: RNAcentral
UAGGGAAUCUUCGGCAAUGGACGGAAGUCUGACCGAGCAACGCCGCGUGAGUGAAGAAGGUUUUCGGAUCGUAAAGCUCUGUUGUAAGAGAAGAACGAGUGUGAGAGUGGAAAGUUCACACUGUGACGGUAUCUUACCAGAAAGGGACGGCUAACUACGUGCCAGCAGCCGCGGUAAUACGUAGGUCCCGAGCGUUGUCCGGAUUUAUUGGGCGUAAAGCAAGCGCAGGCGGUUAGAUAAGUCUGAAGUUAAAGGCUGUGGCUUAACCAUAGUAGGCUUUGGAAACUGUUUAACUUGAGUGCAAGAGGGGAGAGUGGAAUUCCAUGUGUAGCGGUGAAAUGCGUAGAUAUAUGGAGGAACACCGGUGGCGAAAGCGGCUCUCUGGCUUGUAACUGACGCUGAGGCUCGAAAGCGUGGGGAGCAAACAGGAUUAGAUACCCUGGUAGUCCACGCUGUAAACGAUGAGUGCUAGGUGUUAGACCCUUUCCGGGGUUUAGUGCCGUAGCUAACGCAUUAAGCACUCCGCCUGGGGAGUACGACCGCAAGGUUG